UUUCCGUAGGUGAACCUGCGGAAGGAUCAUUAAAGAGAAUAUGCCCUUCGGGGUAGAUCUCCCACCCUUUGUUUAUAUUACCUUUGUUGCUUUGGCAGGCCCGUCCUCGGACCACCGGCUUCGGCUGGUCAGUGCUUGCCAGAGGACCCAAAACUCUUAUUAUUAAUGUCGUCUGAGUACUAUAUAAUAGUUAAAACUUUCAACAACGGAUCUCUUGGUUCUG
Molecule: unclassified non-coding RNA, 223 nt
Filed under: plant metagenome
Description: partial contains small subunit ribosomal RNA, internal transcribed spacer 1, and 5.8S ribosomal RNA
Source: RNAcentral